UACGGAGGGAGCUAGCGUUGUUCGGAAUUACUGGGCGUAAAGCGCGCGUAGGCGGCUUUGUAAGUUAGAGGUGAAAGCCCGGGGCUCAACCCCGGAACUGCCUUUAAAACUGCAUCGCUUGAAUCCAGGAGAGGUGAGUGGAAUUCCGAGUGUAGAGGUGAAAUUCGUAGAGAUUGGAAAGAACACCGAUGGCGAAGGCACUUUACUGGGCUAUUACUAACACUCAGAGACGAAAGCUAGGGUAGCAAAUGGG
RNAcentral lists this ribosomal RNA (253 nucleotides) under uncultured bacterium. RNAcentral describes it as "partial 16S ribosomal RNA". It matches the Rfam family "Bacterial small subunit ribosomal RNA", at positions 524 to 776 of the family's 1533-position model. The record is from RNAcentral.